AUUUGGGUUAACAAAGAGUGGUAAAAUGGAAUAAGAUAACCCAAAUGUGUAUGAGAUCCAUGACUAAGUAUGCAAGUGCCCAUAUGCAAGAAAGAUUAAGUUCAUUCAAGUCUAGAUUCAAGUUGGAGCUGGUUUCAAGAACAAUGCCAAUCAUCAAACAAACAACAAGUUUCAAGAAGAGUUUUCAAGGCUCGAAGCUUACAAGCUUUUUCAAGAGAUGCUUAACCUACUUGAUAUGUUUGGCUAGGAUGUUAGAUUGAGUUCUAGACAUGUGUUCUUUACAAGGUAUUUCAAUCCUAGUUCCCUAUGCAAAUGAAUGCAACCUAUAUGAUUUUAGACAUCUAAUUUUUUUUUUUGAAUUUUCUAUGCAAAUAGAUGUAUGCUCUAGACUCAAUCUUUAAAAAUGCAACUACAUGCUUCUUUUUGUUGUUUUUUUUUCUUUUUUUAAAAAUUCAAAUUUUUUGGAUUUUCUAUGCAAAUAUGUAUCUACAAUGCAUGUCAUAAAACACUUUAAGAUGAU
Molecule: long non-coding RNA, 520 nt
Filed under: Brassica napus (rape)
Lineage: Eukaryota; Viridiplantae; Streptophyta; Magnoliopsida; Brassicales; Brassicaceae
Description: long non-coding RNA (BNAP_LNC024278)
Source: RNAcentral